UAUAUGUUUACCUAUGGUCAUGGUCAAGUAAUAAAUCGUGACUAAAUGUACACUUAUAAUCAUAGGUAAAGUGAGCGACCAUGACAAUAUGUAAGUUUAUGGUCAUGGUCAAGUAAUUUACGAUGAUUAAAUGUCAACUUAUGGAUUAAUGUAAACUUAUGGUCACGGUCAAUUCCUUAAUCAUGACUAAAUGUAUGUCUAUAGUCACGGUUAAUUAAAUGACUGUGGCUUAAUAUAAUCUUAUGGUCACGGUCAAUCCCCUACCCGUGACUAAAUGUAUGUCUAUAGUCACGGUUAAUUAAAUGAUUGUGACUAAAUGUAAUCUUAUGGUCACGGUCAAUACCCUAACCAUGACUCAAUGUAUCUUAUGGUCAUGGUCAAUUUAUUAAUCGUGACUAAAUGUAGGUAUAUAGUCACUGUUAAUUAAUUAACCGUGACCAAAUGUAUCUUAUGGUCACAGUUAAUUCAUUAAUCGUGACUAAAUGUAAGUAUAUUGUCACAGUUAAAUAAGUGACCGUGACUAAUUGUUAGGUCUAUUAUGACAAAAUGUACACUUAUGGUCAUGACUAUUAAUGACCAUGACUAAAAUUAAUCAUAUGAUGUUUGCCCUAUCCCCAAAUUUUGGCGACGGUUCAUUAUUGAUCGUGACUAAAAGUACACUUAUGGUCACAAUUUUUUAGUGGUUGUGACUAAAAUUUGUUAUAUUUAGACAUUGGUCUUUUAUAAAUUCAGAUUUCCCAAACUUGUUAUAAACUUGAACAAACUCAUUUUAGACCUGUAUAUGCAAUUAAAACAAGUUCAAUAUAUUACAAUCAAUUAUCCCAAGCCAAUUAAAAACUUAUAUAUUAAUAUAAGUCAUUAAAUAACAAAAACAUAAAAUAACAAAAAAAAAACCAAACAAACAAAUAACAAAGAGAUUCAAAUUUAGUUUCAUAUUUUAACAUAAUAUAACAAAUCAACCAACCAAACAUCACAUAAUAGUCAUAGAAAGCAAAAAAAGUUAGGAAAAUCUAUCAUAUAAAUAAGUAGCAUAAUCUUCAAAAAAGUUAAGAGAAUCUAUCAUAUAAAGAUGUAGAAAAAUCUUCUAAUUUCUACUGUUUUUGCUGAAAUUAUUGCAUCAUUUGCAUCAUCUGUUCUUGAAUUUGUACUUGCAUUUUUCUUUGCAUUUCCAUCAUUUUUUCUUCAAACUCUUCUUUCACUUCUUCUCGUGUCUUCCUUUGAACUUCUAUCAACCUCUCUUCAAAUGUUUCUUUCACAUGUGAGAGUUCUUCUUUCACAUUUGAGAGUUCUUCAGUUGCAGUUGUAAACUUUUGUUUUGCAACUAUUAGCAUCUCUUGGGCAUUUUCAAGUUGUGUUGAAAGAAUAGCUCCUGAUCGUCUUCUACUAGUAGAACCAAAGACUGAGGUAGGAGUAGGACCAAAUCCAUACUCUUGAACACGACCAUGCCUCUCUAGACCCAUGACUUGAGUAUAUAUCUCAUCUACAGAUGUAGAUGCUACAGAUGUAGAUGAUAUAGAUGUAGAUGAUCCAGAUGAUGCAAAAGCAGAAGAAGAUGUCCCAUCAGGUUGGGAUAGUAAUUGCUGAUAUUGAUCUUGGAAUUAUAAAAAACAAAAAAAAAAAUUGUUAGACUUUUAAAAUAAUUUUUGUAUGUGGCUAUGAUUGAAAUACAAUUAUACAAAAUUUAUUUACUUCAUUACCAUAAUCUCCUUAGAAUGAUCAUCAAUAGGUGUCCCAUAUUUUUUUUUGUGUGUUAGGGCAAACAUCUCAAUUCUAUUAGGAUUACUUCGAUCAUCCUUCUUUUGUGCCUAUUCUUACAAGUAAAAGAAUUGAGUUAUUUAUGAUGAAUUAUUUAUGUACAACCAAAUCAUAUUAAUAAUAAAUUUGCAACCUGUUCAUAUUGAAUUUGAGCAUAACUUUUUGAUCCCGAAGUAUGUUUUAUCACUUGCUUUGCCCUAUUUUUUUUCUGAGAUAUCCUACAUCAAUUAAAAAAUAGCAAGUAACCUAUAUAGGUAAUAGAAACAUAAUAAAAGUUAUAUACAUGAAGUAUUAGGUUAGAUAUAACUAAUAAAUAUCAUUUUAUGUGAAUAUGAGUAUCAUAAGAUACACUAUCAAGAAAAGAUCAUAAUCUUUACCUUGGCCUCAGGUGUACCCCAAAAGUGGAUGAGCCACCUCCAAUCAUCAUCCGAUAAGUGUGGAGGUCGACGGCGCAAUCUCUUCUCAUCUAUAUUAUAAGGGUUAUAAUACUUAGCCUUCAUUUUAUUUCUGUAGCUUCUAAACAAAUUUCCACAACAUUGAAGAAUGUAGCUCUUACAUGUUUCUUCUAGUUCAUAUUUUUCCUGUAUUGCAUUAAAAUGUCAUGUAUAAAUAAGAGGUAUAAUUUUUAAACAAUAACAUUACAAUUUAGAUUGAAUAGUAACUAGCAUAUACCAAUACUAAGGCCCAAAUCUUUUCUUUCACAUCUUCACUAACAUGAUUCCAAUCUUGAACUUGGAUGGGUACAUUGUGUUGAGAUCACACCAAUGUUCCCAUAUAGCUUGACAAUCUUUCCCCUUUUCCAUCAUAAACAACUUGCCCUCUGGUAUUGAAUCGUGUAGUUUUUUUUUUCCCUGGGUUUCAUACUAAGUAAAUCUAAAUUACGUGUUGGGCCACGUGUCCUCUUUUUGCUAGAGGAGGAACCUAUUAAGAGUAAUAAUGAAAUUAAAAGAAACAUAAUUUACUUAUCUUAUAUAAAAUUAAACAUUAAAAACCUAUCAUUCAAGAAAUUAAACAUAUGUAAACACAUUUAUCAUAUGUAAAGUUAAACAUAAUCUUCUUAAUUAUACCAACAACAGAAGGAUCUGAAGAAUCAGAAGGACCAGAAAUACUAAGAGUAGUAGUUGCAGCAGGCUGUAUGUUUGAGAGUUGUUGUAGUGAUUCGACUCAUGGUAGCUUAGCUUUAAAGGCGUAUCAACAAAAUUUAUACCUUAAAUACUAUUACUAAAGUAGCCAAGCUACUAUAGCAUAGUGGUUCUAGGAUCGUUCACUGGGAAGGGUUUUCGCAAACACAAGUGAUAUUCAAAUUAGGAAAAUAGGUGAUUUUCUUAUGGAUGUUAGCUUUAAAAGAAGAUGUAAAUGUUUUAGAAAGAUUUAAACUAAUCUAAGCUAACAUUAAAGACUAAAAUGAAAGGGUGUAAAAACAAGUUUCUCAAAGAUAGGAUAGCUAUGCUCUGGCUCUUAUGCAAAUUGGAAAUCUCAGGAUAGACUCCUCGCGUUGGGGUUGCAACUAUGGUGAUGCUUGCUUCCCGAACCGGUAUGGAUUUAGCAAAUCAAGUUUUAAUCCUUUAAAAUGGCAAAACAGAUGGUAGUGAAUUUCAUCAAUGGUUAUUCACCUUAGACUUCCUUUGAAUGGCUCGUAAGAGAUAACUAAUGGUCUAAAGCCAAAAGCUUACCAAAUAUUGGCAACUCAAAGUCAUUCCAGGUGAUAAACUCACCUUUCAAUGGCCAUUGAAAUUGUUUCUAACGGAUUAAUGCAAAACUGGGAAUUGAAAACCUCACCUUCCAAUAGCUCGUAGGAGAUAACUAAUGGAUAGAAAUCCAAAAGCUUAUCAAGUAUUGGCCGUUGGAAGUUGUCCAAAGGAAAUAAAAACCAAACUUUGCAUUAAUGAACCUUUAAUGAAAAACGAACACCUUACCUUCCGGGUGCGAGAAAUUUCCAUGGGAUUGCAUCCAAGCCAUCACAUAACAUCCAUACUUUGAGAAACUAAAAGUUUUAGCCAAUCAUCCUCUAAGGAAAAGCCCUCAGAGGCUGUUUGGCUACUAAGAAAAUAGAAAUAGUAAAGAGAAAAGAGAAACGAGAGAGCUCUGUAUAUUUCUAAGUGUAAAACGUAACACCUCUCAUAUAUCUUCCAAGAGGUGAUUUCCACCCCUUAUAUAGUCUUUACAAAAGCAAAAGCUUGUGAUUGGUUACUUACAAGGAUAAGAAAGGAAAUUACAUCAAAAAAUACAUAAGAAAAUAUCUAAAGUGGAGUCGGUAAAAGCAGAGCAAAAUUCGCACCACGCAUGUGCUGUGCGAAUUUUGAAGGUGUUGUGCAAAUUUCGCACAACACAAGGUGUCGUGCGAAAUUUUCGCACAACCUGGAGCGGUUGGAUUCCGAAGGCCAUAUCUUCCUCAUUUCAGCUCCAAAUCAUACACGGUUUGAAGCGUUGGAUUCUUGAAUUCCUGAGCUUUGAAAUGGUAUAUAGCAUGUAAAAAAUGGACUUCGAGAAGUGCUCCAAAAGUGCUAAAGAAGACUGUAGCUGCUGUCCUCUUUGCUUCUCUUCACUUUGCUUGCUUUUCCUCUUUGCUUCUCUUUCUUUGCAUACUUUGAACGACUUUGGAAAAGGGCUAUGGAGCUCCAAAGCUUGGUUCUUCAUGAAUUUGAGCUUCCAAAAGCUUUGCCAUAACUUGUCCAAGUAGCUCCUCCAUCAUUUGGCAUGCUUGAAUUGAUUCAUAAGCUGAUAAAAACAUGUAAACUUGCCACAAAAUGGUUAAAACCAAUUACUAAGGACCUUAAUGAAUUAAUUGGGUUAAAUGAAUAUGAUUAAUACUCAAAGGUGCUUAAAACCAUUAUAAUUAGGUCUACUAAAUAGCACUUUUUGGUAGUAAUCAUGUAGAUUGUCCAACUCAUCUUCUGGAGACACUAUUUGUACUCUUCCUCUUCGAUGUGACAUUCCUACAUAAUAAAGUAAAUUAGAAAAAGUAAUACAAAAUAAGUUUCUCCUGCAAUAUCAUUUCUAUUCCAAUUGAUUAAAUCAUUCUCGACCAACUCAUGCACAUCAUGUUGAUUAUGAAGUGUUAUAAGUUGUUGAUAUGACUCUGAAGCAUUAGUAGAUACUUUCUGAUUCAUAUCAUAAACCUCGUGAGUUUGUAUCUCUAUAACGGUGUGCCAAUUUUCCUCAUUUGAAUUUUGAACAUAGAAGACUUGUUUUGCUUGAGAUGCAAGCACAAAUGGUUCAUCUAUGCAUAUAUGGUACAUUCAAGAUUCAAACACGUGAACCCAUAUUCAUCAUUCUUUAUUCCCCUUCCACUAUUUAUUACAUCCCGCUAGUCACACUUUAAUAAAAUAACUCUAUUUCCACUAAGGUAAUGUAACUCAAUUACAUCAGUUAGCACACCAUAGUAAGAAACAUGACCAGUAAUUGAGUUCUUAUCUCUUGCACUUGUAAAGCUUGAUACCUCUACGGUCACAACAACUCCACUAUUUUGAGUUUUUUUUUUUCCCUUUUCUCGUUCUCUUGUGUGAAAUCUGAACCCAUUAAUGAUGUAUCUUCUAUAACAUGUAACUGAUCUGCUUGGUCCAUGAGACAAUGAUAGUAUGUGUUCAGAAAUUGGACCUUCAUGUCGCAUUUGUAUAAUCUAUAGAUUCAAAUAUAAGAUGUUAAUACAUACAUGUGUAUUAGAUAAUAGAACAAUUUAUGUAGUGAAUGAACUUACACAUUCUUCAAACCAACUAAUGAAUUCUUUUGUGUGAAUCAAAUCUACAUCUCGUGCACGAAUACGAGGCUUAACCCUUAUAUAUUGCUUAUGCUCUCUGAUAAAAAAGAAAAAAAUUAAUUAUAAUGCUCACAAAGACCAAAAUUAAAUUUUUGCAUGAGAAUUAGUAUAAAGUUUUAUUCAAAUAAGUGUCUUACUCAAUAAAUGAUGUCACUUCCUUACAAUUAGUCAAUACAUAUAAAUGUGCUUGGGACCAUUCUUCUGUGCUAACAACACGAGAUGUUGACUUUCCUAUUGUACGUCUCAUGCAUUUGAAAAUGGUUAACCCUCCACUUGUUAUGUUAUUUUCAAUGACAUAAUUUCUUUUUUCAUGAUCAUGCUUCGUUUCAACAUCAUACAAAUAUCUUGAACAAAAGGUUGUACAUUCUUCUGCUAUGUACCCCUCUGCAAUAGAACAUUCUGGACGACUCUUAUUACAAACAUAAGACUUUAAUGUACGUAAAUACCUGUCAUUCCACAACAUGAUAGAUUUGUUUCAUGAACUAUAUGAAACCUAAUAUACAUAAGAUUAAUUGAAUGAGAACAUACCGCUCGAUAGGAUACAUCCAUUGAUAUUGCACUGGUCCAACGACCUUUGCCUCACUUGCAAAAUGAAUAGGUAAAUGUACCAUAACAUCAAAGAAUGAUGGAGGAAAUAUUCUUUCUAAUUUGCAAAGUGUGACUAUUAUAUCAUUCUCAAGGUGCUCUAAUUGAUUAGUGUUUAACACUUUAGAACACAACUGUUUGAAGAAACUACAUAGUUCAACUAUAACAGCAUAAACAUUCUUAUGUAGAACUCUUCGAAUUGCAAGUGGAAGGAGUUGUUGCAUGAGAACAUGACAAUCCACUACAAGAAAAAAGGUCAUUGUUGACAUAUAUUAUCUUGACUUAAGGUGAUAUGUGUCAAUAUUGCCUAUUUAAAUUAACAACUAUGACAUAUACAACUUGUUUAAACCAAUAAUGACAUAUAUAAAAUUUUUUUGAAUUCUUUCAUGACUUAUAUAAUAGAAUCUUGACAGAUAAUUUAUAAGUCAAUGUGUAGUUAGUAUGUUCAUAUGUCAAGGUACUUAUAUAAUGUGGCUAGCUUGACAUAAAAUCAAAAUUCAAGGUAUGAUUUUAAACAUAUAUCCAUUUUAAUUCUAGUAAAAUGAUCUUAAAUGACCUAUGGAUUAUAAGUCAAGAUAUCAUGUUAUAAUUACCUGUCAAGGUUUCCUGUGGUAUUUACAAAGAACACUCCUCAUUUUCUCAAAACCCGAUAUUCAUUUUGAGAGCUUAGGGUUUCAAACUUUUUGCUCUAAACCAAGAAUGAAAAAUCGGUAAUUAUGAAUAUAUCAGUACUUCGAUUUUACGGAUAUAUCAUAAAUAUUGAAAAAAUAUCGGUGGAGCAAAAAUGAUUUAAAAUUUAUAGGAAUGCUUGGAAAAACUCCAAAAAAUGAUAAAAUAAGUAAGAAUUCAUAUUUUAAAGUUAUUUGGUAAAUAUAAUUGAUAUAAAUAUGAUAAAAAAAAAAAACAUCGGUAGAUAGAGAUAUAUCAAUAAAUUUGAUAUUUGAAUUUUAAGAAUAAUAAAUAUGAAUUUUGGAAGUGUAUAAAGUUAGAAUUGAGUUAAGAAAUAUUUGAUUUUAUUGAAAAAAAAAAUUUAUAUAUAAAUAUAAUACAUAUGACAUUGCUAUAGUCUUAGUAUCAAAAUGAAGAUUGAUGUAAUUCCACCAUAUUGUUAGAUGAAGGGAGCCCAUCUUGUUGAAGACAAUAUUUAUUUUUAAAAAUUUAAAAUAUUUUUAUUAAAAUACGUUUUAUUAUAUUUUAAAUGAAAAAUUAAAUUAAUUUAUAUAAAAUAUUUUAUUUGAAAUUUAAUUUCUAAAAUUUUAUUAAAAAUAUGUGAUAACAAAUUUUUCUAUUAAUAUUAAUUUAUUUAAAGAAUUAAGAUUAUUAAUAAUUUAUUUUAUCAAAUUAAUUUUAAUUCAUAAAAUAUCGUCCAUAAAAGCGGAAAUUUCAAUGUGAUUUAAUCAAAAUAAAGAUGGGUAAUUAAUAAUUAUUUAUAUAGAGAGAGGAAAAUUGUUCUCAUGAUCUGUUUCAUUUUUUAUUAUUUUUUAUUUAUCUCUACUAACUAUAAAAAUCAAAAGGGCCACCGCUUCUCUCACUUGGGGCAUCAGGCAUCAAGAAGGCCUUUUCUGAAGUUGUUCUCCAGAAGAGAGAAUCCGCCCUUCUCUACGACUCUCAAUCCUAGCAGGUACUAAUCUAAUCAUGUUAUUAUUGUUUUUUUUUGCAACCCCUGUUUGAUUCCUAAGAAAAUCCACCCCCCAUUCGAUUCCUAGGAAAAUUCAUCCUCGUUUGAUUUUCGAGAAAAUCCAUCCUCGUUUGAUUUUCGAGAAAAUCCAUGCAAAACCCUCAAGGAAAACAAAAAAAAAUUGCUUUUUUUUUUUUACUCCUUGUGUUUUCUGUUUGCAAAACCCCCGUUUGAUUCCCAAGAAAAUCCAUCCCCCAUUCGAUUUCUGGGAAAAUUCAUCCUCGUUUGAUUUCCGAGAAAAUCCGUGUAAAACCCCCAAGGAAAACCAAAAAAAUUGCUUUUUUUUUUUUUUUUUUGCUCCCUGUGUUUUCUCUUUGUAAAACCCCUAUUUAUUCCCAAGAAAAUCCAUCCCCUAUUCGAUUUCCGGGAAAAUUCAUCCUCAUUUGAUUUCCGAGAAAAUUCAUCCUCAUUUGAUUUCCGAGAAAAUCCAUGCAAAACCCCCAAGGAAAACAAAAAAAAUUGCUUUUUUUUUUUUUGCUCCCAGUGUUUUUCUGGAUCUGUUCUAGGGGUCUCUUUGCUUUUGUGCCAUCGGAUUUAAAUUUCACGAACCCUAAAUCCAUGAUUUUUGAGCCAGGCUGAAAAACACAACCUUUGCCUACAAAUCAUGAUCAGACCAUAGCCUAUGAAUUACAUUGGUUGGUUCUAAUUAUUGAACCAACACUCUACCUACCAUGUGAAUGAACCAAUUGACAGGUGGGGAUACAACUUGCCAGUUUUUAAUAAACUUGAAAGAUGUUGAGAAACUAUGGGCCUGUUUGUUUAGUGUUUUCAAGAACUGUUUUCUGUUCUUGAAAACAAAAAACACAAAAAACUCGUUUGGUUGAGAGGGUCGUUUUUGUUUUUGUUGUUUCCCGUGUUCUCAAAAUGGCACUGUUUAGAGAACAACAAAAUGUUGUUUUCCCCGUUUUUUUACUGUUUACAGAACAAAAUUAAACAAAAAAAAACCAUCUGUUCUCCGUGUUUUUUUUUUCUUCCCGUUCUCAUCUCUUCUCUAGCACAGUCUCAGUCUUGAUUCAAGGUUCGUGAAAUUUAAAUCCAAUGGCACAAUAGCAAAGAGACCCCUAAAACGGAUCCAGAAAACACAGGGAGCAAAAGAAAAUCCAUUUUUUUUGGUUUUCCUUGGGGUUUUUGCUUGGAUUUUCUCGGAAAUCAAACGAGGAUGAAUUUUCCCGGAAAUCGAAUUGAGGAUGGAUUUUCUUGGGAAUCAAACGGGGGCUGCAAAAAAAAAUAAUAAUAAUAAUAACAUGAUUAGAUUAGUACCUGCGAGGAUUGAGAGUGACAGAGGAAAAUAGGGCCUUUUAGGGAUUCUCUCGGCUGGAGGGCAACUUCAGAAAAGGGCUUCUUGAUGCCCGAUGGAGGACAACUUCAGAAAAGGGCUUCUUGAUGCCCGAGAGAGAGAGAAGUGGGUGGCAUUUUUAAUUUUUGGUUUUAGUAGAGAUAAAAAAAAAAAUUAACAAAUCACGAGAACAAUUUUAUCUCAAUUUAAUAGAAUAUGCUAUAAUUUUUAAUAAAGUUAAAGAUUAAAUAAAAAAAUAUUAAUAAAAAUAAUUUUAUUAUGUUUGAUUUAUUUUAAAAAAGUAUAAAAAAUAUUUUUAUUUUUAAAUUAAUAAAAUAAAUAAUUUUUUUAAUUUAAAUGAACUAUAUAUCUAAAAAUUAUUUAUAAAUUUAUAAUAUAAAAUUACUUGAAGAAAAUAUUUUAUUAAUUAGAAAAGAAAAAAAAAACAUCUUUCAAACGUGUCUUUUGUUUUAUUUGUUCUAAAUUUUUUUUUUAUUAACUCAACCAAACAUGUUUUUUUGUUUUUGAGAACAAAAACUGUUUUUUAGAAUUCAGUUCCCAAACAUAAUUUUUUUUUAAAAAAACCCCAAAAACUGUUCUCAAAAACUAUUUUCCAGAACAGUUUUCAAAAACAGCAACCAAACAGGCCCUAUUACUUCACUAAAUUUCUUCUUAUGUAAGAUUUGGGCUUGUGGAGGUGGAGUUUAUGGAUUAAAUGUGUGAAAUCAGGUUAGCAAGGCUCUCCUUGCAGAAUAUAUCACAGUGCAGAAGAGGAAUAGACCAUUUAAAGGACUGGGAUUAGAAUACAUGAACAAAUCUUGCCCUGUCGUUCCAUCUCAGCUCACAAGUUCUACCCUCAGAAGUAGCCAAUUCCAGGUAAUGUAAUUGUAGCUUCAUUAGCAGCAAUUUGGUUAGUCAAUGAAGUAGAGAGAAAUUUCUUACUCCCUUGAUUUGGCUAUCAGACUGAUAUAUUCUGCCUGAGGGAGCGAGAUCUAUUGAUCUAUUUUGCUGUUGAGAUAUCACAGCUUUAAGCACAGAGCUUAAGCAAAGAGUAUGCACUUCUUCAGGUUAGGAUCUUCGCAUUAACUUGAGUUUUCUCUCUUUCUCUCUGUAUAUCACUCUCGCAAUUUUUUUCCUUUCCUGCACCAAAGUUAUCAACUUGCAGAAGACUUGGGGAGAGCUUUCUCGGAUCGAGCAAUUUUGCAGACCUUUUUAGAUGCUGAGGUAGCUGUGUCUUCUAGUUUACUUAAGGUAAAUAUCGGUACAUUUUUUUCAUAAAUAUAAGUAACUCUACCAAUCAAAAAAAUGUCAGCAUAAGGAAGGUACAAAAUGCUGGAUGUGAAUAAGUAUUGCACGGUUUAUCCAUAUCUGGGUUUGGGGGAAAAUGGGAUGAAGACUAAAAGAGAUUAUAGGAUUUAUACAUUCCAAAAAAGUGCUGAUUAAGGAAACUUAAGUUAUGAGUGUAAGUAGUAGCUUCUGCUUUUGUUUUAUACAUAUCAUUGAUACAGAUGUAGCAGUCUUGUUGCUUUCUUAGCGAUUGAACCUUCAGCAUGCUAAAAACCCUGAUAUGCUUAUCAGAAUUAGAUAUAAUAUGGGAUUUUUGUGUAAUGGCAUUUUGAGUGACAAUUUCCCUAUUUUUUCUGCUGUGUAACAUAUACAACUAUCCUUAUUUCCAGCUUAAGCAUUUGUAGAACAAUGAUGAAGUGAUGCAAACCCAAUUGCUAAUUGUUUUUGCGUUUUUUUUCCCUAUGCAGAGCAUGUUAAGUCUGUUAAGAUCCAUGCAUGUCUUGAUUAUCUUGGAAGAAUGUGCUUCCUUCCUCCGAUAUGGUUACUUGUCACCCGACAAUGCUGUUGGAAUUAGGAAAGAAGUAACAAUACUCUGUAGUGAAUUACGACCACAUGCCCUUGCCUUGGUCAGCUCAUUUGGCAUCCCUAACGCAUUUUUUAGCCCAAUUGCUUUCAAUUGGAUCAAUGCAAAUUCUUGGUCGUCGGUUCAGCCCCAACAAGGGGCCACAGUUCCUCUCUAGAUUUAGAUGAAUCAAAACUUAUACUGCCUGUGGCUUUCUAGAUUCACUAUUAUUGUCUAAUAAAGGUGUAGUAGCUAGCUUGCUAUUAAAAUUCUUCAUAAAGGUUGAUAUUUGAUUGCUCCUCAUUAUACAUUUUUCUUUUUAAUUUGUUAAUAUGCUCUAUAUUUUUUGCUACAAAUUCGAAGUUUGGGUGUUGGAAAUUUAAGGCUUUCCUAUAAAGUAAUGCUUCAAGAUGGAAGCAAGAGACUUGGUUGUAGAUAUAUACAUGAGCAACUUAAUUUAAGUUUAUGUAUAUUGUCUUAUAGUGUGUUUUUAAUUUCAUUGUAUAUUAUAUGAGUUUCUUCUAUAUAGAGAAAUUAGGGAUAACUUUAAACAAGUUCAUUGAUUUGUGCUUUAAUUAAUAAUUAAAUGUAUAUUAAAUAUGUUUUGAUUAUAUAUAAAAUCAUGAUAAUUUGAUUGUCAU
RNAcentral lists this long non-coding RNA (11541 nucleotides) under Vitis vinifera (wine grape). RNAcentral's name for it is "long non-coding RNA (VVIN_LNC003493)". Lineage: Eukaryota; Viridiplantae; Streptophyta; Magnoliopsida; Vitales; Vitaceae. The record is from RNAcentral.